AGUGUUUUAUCCUCCACUUAAAUCGAAGGAU
Molecule: regulatory RNA element, 31 nt
Rfam family: Pseudoknot of upstream pseudoknot domain (UPD) of the 3'UTR
Source: Rfam